Molecule: transfer RNA, 87 nt
Filed under: Ignavibacteria bacterium
Lineage: Bacteria; Pseudomonadati; Ignavibacteriota; Ignavibacteria
Also listed under: 1 other name
Description: tRNA-Ser
Rfam family: tRNA
About the family: Transfer RNA (tRNA) molecules are approximately 80 nucleotides in length. Their secondary structure includes four short double-helical elements and three loops (D, anti-codon, and T loops).
Source: RNAcentral
GGACGGGUGCAGGAGUGGCUUAACUGGCACGCCUGGAAAGCGUGUGUGCGUGAAAGCGUACCGAGGGUUCGAAUCCCUCCCCUUCCG